AAGUAAUUAGUUUAUUGAAAAUAUUAGUUUUGGAGAUUAAUGAUUAUUAUUUUACUUU
RNAcentral lists this transfer RNA (58 nucleotides) under Ceroplastes floridensis. RNAcentral describes it as "tRNA-Pro". The record is from RNAcentral. Lineage: Eukaryota; Metazoa; Arthropoda; Insecta; Hemiptera; Coccidae.